UAAGGAAUAUUGGUCAAUGGGCGCAAGCCUGAACCAGCCAUGCCGCGUGAAGGAUGACGGCCCUACGGGUUGUAAACUUCUUUUGUACGGGAAAAAACCUCCGGUCGUGUAUCGGAGCUGAUGGUACCGUAAGAAUAAGGAUCGGCUAACUCCGUGCCAGCAGCCGCGGUAAUACGGAGGAUCCAAGCGUUAUCCGGAUUCAUUGGGUUUAAAGGGUGCGCAGGCGGAAUGAUAAGUCAGUGGUGAAAUCUCUCGGCUCAACUGAGAAACUGCCAUUGAUACUGUCGUUCUUGAGUACACUUGGAGUGGGCGGAAUGUGUCAUGUAGCGGUGAAAUGCUUAGAUAUGACACAGAACACCGAUCGCGAAGGCAGCUCACUAAGUUGUAACUGACGCUCAGG
Molecule: ribosomal RNA, 400 nt
Filed under: uncultured bacterium
Lineage: Bacteria
Description: bacterial SSU rRNA
Rfam family: Bacterial small subunit ribosomal RNA
Source: RNAcentral